Molecule: ribosomal RNA, 305 nt
Filed under: uncultured bacterium
Lineage: Bacteria
Description: bacterial SSU rRNA
Rfam family: Bacterial small subunit ribosomal RNA
Source: RNAcentral
AGCCUACGGGGGGCAGCAGUAGGGAAUUUUCGUCAAUGGGCGCAAGCCUGAACGAGCAAUGCCGCGUGAAGGAAGAAGGCUUUCGGGUUGUAAACUUCUUUUAACAGGGAAGAGCAGAAGACGGUACCUGUUGAAUAAGCCACGGCUAACUACGUGCCAGCAGCCGCGGUAAUACGUAGGUGGCAAGCGUUGUCCGGAUUUACUGGGUGUAAAGGGCGUGCAGCCGGGUUUAUAAGUCAGAUGUGAAAUCCCGCGGCUCAACCGCGGAACUGCAUUUGAAACUGUAGAUCUUGAGUACUGGAGAG